This is a non-coding RNA of Cinara cedri, 289 nucleotides long. The record is from the annotation of a GenBank genome assembly. Lineage: Eukaryota; Metazoa; Arthropoda; Insecta; Hemiptera; Aphididae.
UAUGCCGUGUUCUGCGCGUUCACAUUGUCCAAUUUGUGCUCGCCGUCGCCAACUGUAACCGUGUGAUGCUCACCUACACGAUACUUAUCAACGGGGUCAGAGCUCUGAGCACGUUACGCUGUCUCUCGAUGAACUGAUUUCGCGAUGAAAACCGCCUGUGCGUCAUUAUGUUAUUACGCCGUCCGAAACGGCUACUAUCCAAAUGAUUACAUCCUGAGCUACACUGCGAAAAACUUUACCUCACUCUGCGUAGGUAAUAAUACAUUUUAUUGAAACUGUAAACUGUAAA